RNAcentral lists this ribosomal RNA (443 nucleotides) under uncultured bacterium. RNAcentral describes it as "partial 16S ribosomal RNA". It matches the Rfam family "Bacterial small subunit ribosomal RNA", at positions 356 to 791 of the family's 1533-position model. The record is from RNAcentral.
AGGGAAUCUUCGGCAAUGGGGGCAACCCUGACCGAGCAACGCCGCGUGAGUGAAGAAGGUUUUCGGAUCGUAAAGCUCUGUUGUAAGUCAAGAACGGGUGUGAGAGUGGAAAGUUCACACUGUGACGGUAGCUUACCAGAAAGGGACGGCUAACUACGUGCCAGCAGCCGCGGUAAUACGUAGGUCCCGAGCGUUGUCCGGAUUUAUUGGGCGUAAAGCGAGCGCAGGCGGUUUGAUAAGUCUGAAGUUAAAGGCUGUGGCUCAACCAUAGUUCGCUUUGGAAACUGUCAAACUUGAGUGCAGAAGGGGAGAGUGGAAUUCCAUGUGUAGCGGUGAAAUGCGUAGAUAUAUGGAGGAACACCGGUGGCGAAAGCGGCUCUCUGGUCUGUAACUGACGCUGAGGCUCGAAAGCGUGGGGAGCGAACAGGAUUAGAUACCCUUGG